CGGCGAUGUGCGUCAGGGGCUGGGAUAGCAAUCAAAAAUGGUUUCGUUUGGAUUAAUGACAAAGCCCCCAUCCUUCCAGGAGUGGGAGCACCUCUGUUCCUUGGCAGAGUUCGUUGCAGAAGUGGGAUUUUAUUGCUUUAUCUUCCAGUCCUAAAGAUUCGAAGACUCUUUUAAGAUGUUCUGAUAUUAAGGGGUGUAUGACAUAUCCCUCC
Molecule: long non-coding RNA, 212 nt
Organism: Pelodiscus sinensis (Chinese soft-shelled turtle)
Lineage: Eukaryota; Metazoa; Chordata; Testudines; Trionychidae
Source: RefSeq, a predicted model, not a curated record